GACGAACCGUGCGAACGUUGUUCGGAAUCACUGGGCUUAAAGGGCGCGUAGGCGGAUCAUCAAGUCAGGGGUGAAAUACUUCGGCUUAACCGGAGAAUGGCUUCUGAUACUGGUGGUCUCGAGGGGUGUAGGGGCAUGUGGAACUUCCGGUGGAGCGGUGAAAUGCGUAGAUAUCGGAAGGAACGCCGGUGGCGAAAGCGACGUGCUGGACACCUUCUGACGCUGAGGCGCGAAAGCCAGGGGAGCAAACGGG
This 253-nucleotide ribosomal RNA is filed under the name uncultured bacterium. RNAcentral's name for it is "partial 16S ribosomal RNA". It matches the Rfam family "Bacterial small subunit ribosomal RNA", at positions 524 to 776 of the family's 1533-position model. The record is from RNAcentral.